GUAGUCUGCAACCCGACUACAUGAAGCUGGAAUCGCUAGUAAUCGCGGAUCAGAAUGCCGCGGUGAAUACGUUCCCGGGUCUUGUACACACCGCCCGUCACACCAUGGGAGUCGGAAAUGCCCGAAGUCUGUGACCCAACCUUAGGGAGGGAGCAGCCGAAGGCAGGUCGGAUGACUGGGGUGAAGUCGUAACAAGGUACC
This 201-nucleotide ribosomal RNA is filed under the name uncultured bacterium. RNAcentral's name for it is "partial 16S ribosomal RNA". It matches the Rfam family "Bacterial small subunit ribosomal RNA", at positions 1300 to 1500 of the family's 1533-position model. The record is from RNAcentral.